GGGGAAGGGCGGCGUGCUACACAUGCAAGUCGAGCGGUAAGGCCCUUCGGGGUACACGAGCGGCGAACGGGUGAGUAACACGUGAGCAACCUGCCCCUGACUCUGGGAUAAGCGGUGGAAACGCCGUCUAAUACCGGAUACGACCUUCCGCCUCAUGGUGGAGGGUGGAAAGUUUUUUCGGUCAGGGAUGGGCUCGCGGCCUAUCAGCUUGUUGGUGGGGUAACGGCCUACCAAGGCGAUUACGGGUAGCCGGCCUGAGAGGGCGACCGGCCACACUGGGACUGAGACACGGCCCAGACUCCUGCGGGAGGCAGCAGUGGGGAAUAUUGCGCAAUGGGCGAAAGCCUGACGCAGCGACGCCGCGUGGGGGAUGACGGCCUUCGGGUUGUAAACCUCUUUUACCACCAACGCAGGCUCCGGGUUCUCUCGGGGUUGACGGUAGGUGGGGAAUAAGGACCGGCUAACUACGUGCCAGCAGCCGCGGUAAUACGUAGGGUCCGAGCGUUGUCCGGAAUUAUUGGGCGUAAAGAGCUCGUAGGCGGCGUGUCGCGUCUGCUGUGAAAGACCGGGGCUUAACUCCGGUUCUGCAGUGGAUACGGGCAUGCUAGAGGUAGGUAGGGGAGACUGGAAUUCCUGGUGUAGCGGUGAAAUGCGCAGAUAUCAGGAGGAACACCGGUGGCGAAGGCGGGUCUCUGGGCCUUACCUGACGCUGAGGAGCGAAAGCAUGGGGAGCGAACAGGAUUAGAUACCCUGGUAGUCCAUGCCGUAAACGUUGGGCGCUAGGUGUGGGGACUUUCCACGGUUUCCGCGCCGUAGCUAACGCAUUAAGCGCCCCGCCUGGGGAGUACGGCCGCAAGGCUAAAACUCAAAGGAAUUGACGGGGGGCCG
RNAcentral lists this ribosomal RNA (888 nucleotides) under Nocardiopsis sp. T196(2010). RNAcentral describes it as "bacterial SSU rRNA". It matches the Rfam family "Bacterial small subunit ribosomal RNA", at positions 28 to 923 of the family's 1533-position model. Lineage: Bacteria; Bacillati; Actinomycetota; Actinomycetes; Streptosporangiales; Nocardiopsidaceae. The record is from RNAcentral.